CAAAUACAGACGAGAUUAUGUGAGAAUUAUGUGAGAGUUUAUGCAUAUUUUUAUAGUUUCAAACUUUAAAUAAAUAUCAAAAAACAUUCGCGACACAGUGGCGAUCCUGCCAGGACGGCGUUGCUGGGAGAAACAGUGAAUUGUGAGUCAAAUUAAGCGAUAAUUUUAACAUUUUGGGAGUCACAACAAGCGAGCAAAAUGGCCGACGUUGUAGAGAAAAAGAUCGAAGGUAAGCUUCGUUUGUUGAAGUUUAACAAUGAACAAACAACAAAAAUUGUGGAAUCAGCUGAUCUAAAAGCUAUUGAGAGACACGUGAGCG
Molecule: non-coding RNA, 319 nt
Organism: Paramuricea clavata
Lineage: Eukaryota; Metazoa; Cnidaria; Anthozoa; Malacalcyonacea; Plexauridae
Source: the annotation of a GenBank genome assembly